GCUGUGAGUAAAAGUGUUGUAAGCAAAUAUUACAGAUGCUGCUACUGGGCUAACCAGUAAUUAGUUUGUAGGUACGUACCCCUUCCCACAGCUCUGUCAGGCAGAGCCCACAGGUGCCAUGUCGGUGCUUCUCGAGCAUCCAGUGAAACGGGAUACUUCCCCGCUGAGCGCUAUUUGGGUCACACAGCCCUCCUGCUGCCGCCUUGCCAUUUCUGCCUGGGAGUCUGCUGGUUUACUCUAUCUUCAGCUCUCGUCUUUAGAGGCUCUUCCGAUGGCACGCGUCACUCGCGCGGCUGGCCUGCGUGCGAGGUGCCGCUGCUUGCCCUAGAAAGGGCGCCGCUGCGAAGGGAGGCGCAGGAGGAGGUUCCCCCUUCAGCGCUUUCCAGCCUUAUCCAUGCCUCUCUCUGGAUUUCUGCUGUUUCCAUUAGCCAGAAUAACUCCUGCCAAGAGCGGGCAGGCUCUGUGAGCUGCUUCGCCUCGUGUCCUGCCGGUAGCUGCUUGCCAUUGUGUCAAAGUCCUCAGGCAAGAGGAGCUCUUCUCUUUGCAUCAUGAAAAACUGAUUACAGAAGUGGAUGUUUCCUGAAUAUGAAGUGCUGGAGCUGCACAUCCCUUGUCCUGGUUGUUCCCCUUCUCCUUGUGCUAUUUCUUCAAGGAACAGCUCUCCAACAGCAGCAAACUCUUUUCAUUUAGAGAUGCUGCUAUAAUUCAGUUUCUUUGG
RNAcentral lists this long non-coding RNA (718 nucleotides) under Apteryx owenii (little spotted kiwi). RNAcentral's name for it is "lncRNA (ENSAOWG00000007555.1)". Lineage: Eukaryota; Metazoa; Chordata; Aves; Apterygiformes; Apterygidae. The record is from RNAcentral.